This 326-nucleotide ribosomal RNA is filed under the name uncultured eukaryote. RNAcentral's name for it is "partial 18S ribosomal RNA". It matches the Rfam family "Eukaryotic small subunit ribosomal RNA", at positions 1470 to 1796 of the family's 1831-position model. The record is from RNAcentral.
CCCUUAGAUGUUUUGGGCCGCACGCGCGCUACACUGAUGCAUUCAACAAGCCUAGCCUUGACCGAGAGGUCCGGGUAAUCUUUGAAACUGCAUCGUGAUGGGGCUAGAUUAUUGCAAUUAUUAAUCUUCAACGAGGAAUGCCUAGUAAGCGUGAUUCAUCAAAUCGCGUUGAUUACGUCCCUGCCCUUUGUACACACCGCCCGUCGCUCCUACCGAUUGAAUGUGUUGGUGAGGAGCUCGGAUUGGCAGCAGUUGGUGGUUCGCCACCGGCUAUUGCUGAGAAGUCCUCCAAACCGCCCCAUUUAGAGGAAGGAGAANUCGUAACA